Molecule: non-coding RNA, 119 nt
Filed under: Ezakiella coagulans
Lineage: Bacteria; Bacillati; Bacillota; Tissierellia
Also listed under: 1 other name
Description: Bacteroides coagulans FMN riboswitch aptamer (RFN element)
Rfam family: FMN riboswitch aptamer (RFN element)
About the family: The RFN element is a highly conserved domain that is found frequently in the 5'-untranslated regions of prokaryotic mRNAs that encode for flavin mononucleotide (FMN) biosynthesis and transport proteins.
Source: Rfam by way of RNAcentral
AUUUGUCUUCAAGGGGUAGGUUAAAUUCCUCACCGGUGGUAAAGCCCACGAGCCAAAUAUGGCAGAUCAGGUUUGAUUCCUGAGCCGACGGUAUAGUCCGGAUGAAAAGGAAGAUCCCC